This 498-nucleotide ribosomal RNA is filed under the name uncultured bacterium. Its description in RNAcentral is "partial 16S ribosomal RNA". It matches the Rfam family "Bacterial small subunit ribosomal RNA", at positions 28 to 523 of the family's 1533-position model. The record is from RNAcentral.
GAUUAACGCUGGCGGCAUGCCUAACACAUGCAAGUCGAACGGUUUAUGGAGCUUGCUUCAUAGAUAGUGGCGGACGGGUGAGUAAUAUGUAGGAAUCUGCCUUGAGGAGGGGGAUAACUUGGGGAAACUCAAGCUAAUACCGCGUAAGACGGAGACGAGAAAGCAGGGGACCGAAAGUCCUUGCGCCUCAAUAUGAGCCUACAUCGGAUUAGAUAGUUGGUGGGGUAAAGGCCUACCAAGGCGAUGAUCCGUAGCUGGUCUGAGAGGAUGACCAGCCACACUGGGACUGAGACACGGCCCAGACUCCUACGGGAGGCAGCAGUGGGGAAUAUUGGACAAUGGGGGAAACCCUGAUCCAGCAAUGCCGCGUGUGUGAAGAAGGCCUUCGGGUUGUAAAGCACUUUCAGCGGGGAAGAAGGAUGUAUGGUUAAUACCCAUGCAUUUUGACGUUAACCACAGAAGAAGCACCGGCUAACUCUGUGCCAGCCGCCGCCGUAA